RNAcentral lists this unclassified non-coding RNA (3315 nucleotides) under Hevea brasiliensis (rubber tree). The record is from RNAcentral. Lineage: Eukaryota; Viridiplantae; Streptophyta; Magnoliopsida; Malpighiales; Euphorbiaceae.
GUUCUAAGAGAUACAAAGUGAACGAUUGUAUCUAUUGUAAAAGAUAUAAGUGAACAGAUGUAAUUAUUCUAAUAGAUACAAAGUGAACUAUUGUAUAUGUUUGAAGAGAUGCAAAUGCUUUAUAAAUAGUAGUUUAGAACAAAAAUUUAUUAACUUUUCUUUUUUGUCUCUUCUCUUCAAUUUUACCGACAAUCAACAUUAUUAUUCUUUAAUUUAUUCUUGGGAGAAUUUUAAAAUUGUUGUCUAGAUUUAUAUUUUGGUUAUUAUCCUUGAGGGAUCUGCCUAAAACUACCCAGCUAUAACAUAGUGGGGGUUUUACUCUUUUUCAAUUUCAUUAUAUUGAGGGAAGUAAAUACUCCAUAUGAUAUUUAUUACAAAUUGACUGGAAAUUUUGCUAGAAUAAUUAUUCAAAUUGAGUGUGCUAGUGCUAUUGGUAGCUUAAUGUAUGUUAUGCAUUGCACUACUCCUGAUAUUGCUUUUGCAAUGUAUAAAUUGUCAAGAUAUACUAAUAAUCCUAGUGUGGAAUAUUGAAAAGAAAUUUCAAGGGUUUUUGGAUAUUUAAAAAAGGAAUUAUAAACUAUAGAUUAUUCUGUGAUAAGUUUUCAGUUGUAUAAAAACCAUAUAAAGAAUUGUAUCUAUGCAAAGAGUUAUGUCCCUUCGCCAAAAGAUGUAACUAAAUGAAAAGAUGCAAUUCUUCUAAAUAGUUACAUGCAUGAAGAGAUGAACUAAUUGGCCAAAAGGUUGGUACAUUUUGAGUAGUAAAAAUAAGAGCCUUACAAGUCAUUUGUAAGAAGUGACAAAAGAACAAAUGAGUAUGCAUUUGUGUGUGUGUGCAAGUUUAGCUUGGUUCUUUAUUGUUGGAUACUCUCAUUUUAAACAAGUUAUGGAGCAAUUUAUUUCUGCAAAUAAGGUACAAACCUAGACUGUGAAUUAUUUAUGCAGUUCAUGUUAUAAACAUGUGAUUAUAUGGUUGACUAGUGAAACAAAUAUGGUUGGAGAUCCUAAAGUGUUAUAAAUACCAAUUGGAUAUGUAUUACUAAGGAUAAUAAGUCAACUUUUAGUUGGGUGUCCACUUUAGGUGGAGGUUUUGUUUCUUGGGCAUCAAAGAAACAAACUUGUAUAACUUAUUCUACUGUAGAACCCGAAUUUAUAACUUUGGCGAAUGUAGGUAAAGAAGUAGAAUGGCUGAGAAACUUGUUAUCGGAUAUUAAGCUGUGGCCACAACCUGUGCUAUCUAUUUCUUUAUAUUGUGAUAGUCAAAUCAUGAUGGUUAAAGCUUAUAGUAAAAUAUACAAUUGAAAGUAUAUAUAUAUAAGCUUAAGACAUGAAAAUGUAAGACAAUUAGUCUCUAAUGGUGUUAUUACCAUGGUUAUGUUAAAUCCUAUAAUAAUCUAGCAAAUCCUUUAAUAAAAGGGCUCUCGAGAGUUAUGAUCAUAAGCACAUGUGCUGAUUAGGAUUUAGAAUAUUCCAUUAAAUUUACUAAUGAUGGGAACCCUACUUUAUAGUAUUAUUACUAAAUAAAGUUUAAAGGGUAACAACAAGUCAUUAGUAAAUGUUGUAAUUACGUAUUUAGUGUACUAAGUUAAUGGAAUGGGGAUGAGUUUUUAUACUCUUAAUGAAGUUUAAUAUUAAUACAAAAGAAACUUCACCUAUAUGAACAUAAUUUUGGUGAACUUUUUAAGUCAAACUAAUUGAUUCGUGUGUGUAGUAUUUCCGAUUCUAUUUAAUAGGAAUCUAAGUUUAAGCUAAGGCCACCAUGAUUUCUUUAGAACUUUGAAAUACUUACACUAAGGAAAAGUUUAAAUCGAAAGAUACUUUUCAUUAUGCAUGAAACAAUGGGAUCUAACAAUACAAGCUAAGUGGGGGAUUGUUAUAAAUAGCUUGUAUGUUAGAUAGUAUAGAGAGAAAGAAUUUCUAUAUUGUUAAAAUAUAAGAAAGUGAAGGAAUGGUAAGAGUGAAAUAUGUAUAGAAUUAUAUAUAUAUAAUUCAAUAUAUAUUAUUCUAUUAUGGCACUUGACAAGUAUAUGUGUGAAAUAAAAUAAUUAUCAUAUUGUAAUUUUCGUAAAUAAUUUACGAACAAAUGUGUUUAUUAACAAGUAGAUGUGUCUGUUAAUAGACAGACAUAUCAAUUCUAUACAAACAGUCACAACUGUUUGUAUAGGUAUCUGUUAAUAAACAGACAUGUCUAUUCUAUACAAAUAGUCACAACUAUUUGUAUAGGUAUCUUUUAAUAAACAGACAUGUCUAUUACACAAACAGUUGUAUCUAUUAGAGAUAAACAGAUGUGUAUCUAGAAAAGGUGCCAUGACUUUUCAUUCUUUAUAAAUAUGGAUGAGUUUUUUCAAUCCAGAUAUACUACUUCUACUUCUUCUUCUCUUCUUCUAAUCUCUCUAAAUUCAGUUCAUAUAAAGAGUUCUUAAGGGAAAUCUUCAGGAGUUGCUGUCUGCAGAUUUCAGGCUUUGUUGUAUCCUGGAGGUAUAUUGCCAUAACCUUGCAGCAAUCUAGUGGGGGCAAUUAAUACCUUAAAGAUAGUGAUUCAUCACGCCUCAAAGCCUAUUCUACACCCACUGCCUCAACAAUUUUAAGGUAUUAAUCGCAAUGGAGUCCAAGGCUGUUUCCAUGAUGAAUCAAGAGUUUAUGAAACUUGAUCGUUUUGAUGGGACAAACUAUGUUCGCUGGAAAGACAAGAUGCUAUUCUUACUCACCACAUUGAAGAUUUCUUAUAUACUUGAUCCAAGUCUGCCUGCCAUUUCACCACCAACUCCAGAAGAUUCUGAACAAGUGAAAGCAGAUCGAGACAAACGUGAAGAAGAUGAAUUGCUAUACAGAGGUCAUAUUCUUAACAACUUGUCAGAUAGGCUAUAUGAUCUAUUUACUUCUGUCAAGUCUCCAAUAGAAAUCUAGAAAUAACUGGAGUUCAAAUACAACUCAGAAAAAUAAGGUGUGGAUAAAAUUUUCAUCAUGAAAUAUUUUGAAUUCUAAAUACUUGAUAAUAUGUCUGAAGAAAUAUAAGGUUAUAUUAUGAUGCUAAAGCUCAUGGUGAAUGUGAUAAAGAAGGUAAUAAGAUUUAUGUGCAUAAGUCGAAAAACACUUUUAUAUGCAUAAAUCCUAAUUUAUAUUAAUUGUGUCUAUCACUAACUAGGUGGAGAUAUUGUUAAAAAUAUUAGUGAUAAUAAAAUUUAUCUCAUUUUGAAAGAGUUAUGUAUGUUCAUUAAAAGGCAUCAAAAUGAACUAUUCAUUACCGAUAGCUAUAUCUAUUUUAAGAGGUAUAGGUGAAUAGUUGUAUCUAUUCUAAGAUGUAUAAGUGAACAAUUG